GACGAACGCUGGCGGCGUGCUUAACACAUGCAAGUCGAACGGAAAGGCCCUGCUUUUGUGGGGUGCUCGAGUGGCGAACGGGUGAGUAACACGUGAGUAACCUGCCCUUGACUUUGGGAUAACUUCAGGAAACUGGGGCUAAUACCGGAUAGGAGCUCCUGCUGCAUGGUGGGGGUUGGAAAGUUUCGGCGGUUGGGGAUGGACUCGCCGCUUAUCAGCUUGUUGGUGGGGUAGUGGCUUACCAAGGCUUUGACGGGUAGCCGGCCUGAGAGGGUGACCGGCCACAUUGGGACUGAGAUACGGCCCAGACUACUACGGGAGGCAGCAGUGGGGAAUAUUGCACAAUGGGCGGAAGCCUGAUGCAGCAACGCCGCGUGCGGGAUGACGGCCUUCGGGUUGUAAACCGCUUUCGCCUGUGACGAAGCGUGAGUGACGGUAAUGGGUAAAGAAGCACCGGCUAACUACGUG
RNAcentral lists this ribosomal RNA (468 nucleotides) under uncultured bacterium. Its description in RNAcentral is "partial 16S ribosomal RNA". It matches the Rfam family "Bacterial small subunit ribosomal RNA", at positions 28 to 507 of the family's 1533-position model. The record is from RNAcentral.